Sorghum bicolor (sorghum) is the source of this 1134-nucleotide long non-coding RNA. RefSeq lists it as uncharacterized. NCBI's taxonomy places the organism in Eukaryota, Viridiplantae, Streptophyta, Magnoliopsida, Poales, Poaceae. The record is from RefSeq and is a predicted model, not a curated record. The transcript has 3 exons.
CACUGGAUUAGUGGAUCAGAACGGAUCGAACCUUAGGGUUGGGUGGUUCGACCCGCCCCUCUGCCACUCGUCCGUGCGGCGGCGAGCCGGCAUCCAUGCUUCCCGUCCAUACGCCACUGGCGGCGGCGGCGGCGGUCGCUGAAACACAUCCGCUGCUCCCGCCUGCCCUCAACAGCCUGUUCCUGCCCGUGACGUCUGCUCCUUUCGCUCCUCCCGCCCACGACAUCCGCUCCUCCGGCUCGGCGCCAUCUGCAGAAGUAGCCAAGAAGAAGACCGCCGUGGACAUAGGCACACGACGACCAGCGCCAUCCGCUGCUCUCCUUCCUCCUCCUCCCAAGGCCUCUGCAGUUGCAUAUGUCUAUGGAACCACCAGCAGGCAAGACUAACGCGAAGCAGGACUGAAGCGGACAGGAGCGAUGCCCUACCUCUAGGGAUGAGACUCUACCACCUGAUAUCCAACACCCCGAUGUCACUUCAACGCCCACGUUGUCGUAGUUCCUAUCGAGUGGUUCAAAGAGAAAGAGAAUGCCUCGUCCAACUAGCUUGCCUGAAAAUGAAAGACCAGAACAAGUGUUCGCCGAUCACGAGGCUGAGGACAUGGGCGAUCAUUGUCAGAAUCAGCUUUCAGCCUUACGAGAAGACUUAUAUCAGAUUUUCGUUUACGUUUAACUCUUAAAACCGUGAAAGAGUUAAUGUGCUUACAAGAUUGGUUUCGUGCUUCUGGUUCAACAAAAUUCAGUGUGGAGUCUAUUGAUCAUUGUCUUCUCGAUGGAAUCAAUCAACAGGAGUGAAGAUGGUGAGAUUCAAUACCAUAUUUUUUCUGCUAUGUGCUUCUGGUUAAAACAUGCAUUAGGAUGAAAUGCUUGGUCAAUGCUAUGCUCUCUGUUUUAUUUUUGCCCCAAUGUUAAUCAAUUAGCUCUCAGUAUCUAGUUAGUUUAGAGGAAAGGUAGUGUUGCAAUGCCUGUAUAGGUAUCAAAUGUCAGUGUACAAUGUACUCCAUUUGCCCUUUUGUUUCUGCAUCCUGAUUCACAGAUGAAUUCAAUCUAAAAUCUAGAACAUAGAUUAAUAUUGUUUGUGAUACUGAUAGACUUGGUGGGAUCAGUCAUGCUGGCACUUAUGUCAGUACAAGAAAAA